Molecule: ribosomal RNA, 1009 nt
Filed under: uncultured Flavobacteriales bacterium
Lineage: Bacteria; Pseudomonadati; Bacteroidota; Flavobacteriia; Flavobacteriales
Description: bacterial SSU rRNA
Rfam family: Bacterial small subunit ribosomal RNA
Source: RNAcentral
UAGAGGGGAUCCAGAUCUAAUACGAAGGGUGCAAGCGUUAUCCGGAUUCAUUGGGUUUAAAGGGUGCGUAGGCGGAACAAUAAGUCAGCGGUGAAAGCCCGUAGCUUAACUACGGAAUUGCCGUUGAUACUGUUGUUCUUGAGUACGCUUGACGUGGGCGGAAUGUGCCGUGUAGCGGUGAAAUGCUUAGAUAUGGCACAGAACACCGAUAGUGAAGACAGCUCACGAAGGCGAAACUGACGCUGAGGCACGAAAGCGUGGGGAUCAAACAGGAUUAGAUACCCUGGUAGUCCACGCCGUAAACGAUGAUCACUCGUGAUUGGCGAUAUACGGUCAGUCACCUAGCGAAAGCGUUAAGUGAUCCACCUGGGGAGUACGAUCGCAAGAUUGAAACUCAAAGGAAUUGACGGGGGCCCGCACAAGCGGUGGAGCAUGUGGUUUAAUUCGAUGAUACGCGAGGAACCUUACCAGGGCUUGAACGUGCAUUGACAGGGGCGGAAACGUCCUCUUCUUCGGACAAUGUGCGAGGUGCUGCAUGGCUGUCGUCAGCUCGUGCCGUGAGGUGUCGGGUUAAGUCCCAUAACGAGCGCAACCCCUACUGUUAGUUGCCAGCGGAUAAUGCCGGGGACUCUAACGGAACUGCCCGCGUAAGCGGUGAGGAAGGUGGGGACGACGUCAAGUCAUCACGGCCCUUACGUCUUGGGCGACACACGUGCUACAAUGGCCGGUACAGAGGGCAGCUACCACGCGAGUGGAUGCGAAUCUCGAAAACCGGUCUCAGUUCGGAUUGGAGUCUGCAACUCGACUCUAUGAAGCUGGAAUCGCUAGUAAUCGCAUAUCAGCCAUGAUGCGGUGAAUACGUCCCCGGGCCUUGUACACACCGCCCGUCAAGCCAUGGAAGCCGGGGGUACCUGAAGUCGGUGACCGUCAAAGGAGCUGCCUAGGGUAAAACUGGUAACUAGGGCUAAGUCGUAACAAGGUAGCCGUAAGCGUAUACAUCACGCUUUAC